GAUGAACGCUGGCGGCGUGCCUAAUACAUGCAAGUCGAGCGAACAGACGAGGAGCUUGCUCCUCUGACGUUAGCGGCGGACGGGUGAGUAACACGUGGAUAACCUACCUAUAAGACUGGGAUAACUUCGGGAAACCGGAGCUAAUACCGGAUAAUAUAUUGAACCGCAUGGUUCAAUAGUGAAAGUCGGUUUUGCUGUCACUUAUAGAUGGAUCCGCGUCGCAUUAGCUAGUUGGUAAGGUAACGGCUUACCAAGGCGACGAUGCGUAGCCGAACUGAGGGGGUGAUCGGCCACACUGGAACUGAGACACGGUCCAGGCUCCUACGGGAGGCAGCAGUAGGGAAUCUUCCGCAAAGGGCGAAAGCCUGACGGAGCAACGCCGCGUGAGUGAUGAAGGUCUUCGGAUCGUAAAACUCUGUUAUUAGGGAAGAACAAAUGUGUAAGUAACUAUGCACGUCUUGACGGUACCUAAUCAGAAAGCCACGGCUAACUACGUG
RNAcentral lists this ribosomal RNA (497 nucleotides) under uncultured bacterium. RNAcentral's name for it is "partial 16S ribosomal RNA". It matches the Rfam family "Bacterial small subunit ribosomal RNA", at positions 28 to 507 of the family's 1533-position model. The record is from RNAcentral.